This is a non-coding RNA of Trichomycterus rosablanca, 280 nucleotides long. RefSeq annotates it as small Cajal body-specific RNA 6. The transcript has a single exon. Lineage: Eukaryota; Metazoa; Chordata; Actinopteri; Siluriformes; Trichomycteridae. The record is from RefSeq and is a predicted model, not a curated record.
GGUCAAUGAUGUGAUGUAAAAGGUCUGAAGCUAAGAGCCCCUCCAGCUCCUUUUUUGUCCCUUCCAGCAGUCCCUGCUUGUUCACCCAGUAUGCUUUAGGUAUGCGUAUUGGGUGCGCAGGGCAGCUGAUACUCGAGGACGUGUUGCUAAACGUGUGUGUCUGAAUGAGCAACAGGACACACACAUUGCAACGGCGUCCGACACGUACAUUGCAAACACACAGGAGGGCGGAGCUGUAGGAGGCGAGCGACUUGUGAUCUCCAGUUUUCAAGCUGAGACC